GUGAUUUNGGGNCAGCAAGUCGAACGGUGAUCUCCAGCUUGCUGGGGUGAUCAGUGGCGAACGGGUGAGUAACACGUGAGUAACCUGCCCUCGUCUUCGGGAUAACUACUGGAAACGGUGGCUAAUACCGAAUAUUCACUUCCUGUCGCAUGGUGGGUGGUGGAAAGUUUUUCGGACGGGGAUGGGCUCGCGGCCUAUCAGCUUGUUGGUGGGGUGAUGGCCUACCAAGGCGACGACGGGUAGCCGGCCUGAGAGGGUGACCGGCCACACUGGGACUGAGAUACGGCCCAGACUCCUACGGGAGGCAGCAGUGGGGAAUAUUGCACAAUGGGCGAAAGCCUGAUGCAGCGACGCCGCGUGAGGGAUGACGGCCUUCGGGUUGUAAACCUCUUUCAGCAGGGAAGAAGCGAAAGUGACGGUACCUGCAGAAGAAGCGCCGGCUAACUACGUGCCAGCAGCCGCGGUAAUACGUAGGGCGCAAGCGUUGUCCGGAAUUAUUGGGCGUAAAGAGCUCGUAGGCGGUUAGUCGCGUCUGCUGUGAAAACUCGAGGCUCAACCUCGGGCUUGCAGUGGGUACGGGCUGACUAGAGUGCGGUAGGGGUGACUGGAAUUCCUGGUGUAGCGGUGGAAUGCGCAGAUAUCAGGAGGAACACCGAUGGCGAAGGCAGGUCACUGGGCCGCAACUGACGCUGAGGAGCGAAAGCAUGGGGAGCGAACAGGAUUAGAUACCCUGUAUUUCNNAANNUNNC
RNAcentral lists this ribosomal RNA (749 nucleotides) under uncultured bacterium. RNAcentral describes it as "bacterial SSU rRNA". It matches the Rfam family "Bacterial small subunit ribosomal RNA", at positions 44 to 806 of the family's 1533-position model. The record is from RNAcentral.